GACGAACGCUGGCGGCGUGCCUAAUACAUGCAAGUCGAACGCUUCUUUUUCCACCGGAGCUUGCUCCACCGGAAAAAGAGGAGUGGCGAACGGGUGAGUAACACGUGGGUAACCUGCCCAUCAGAAGGGGAUAACACUUGGAAACGAGGUGCUAAUACCGUAUAACAAUCGAAACCGCAUGGUUUUGAUUUUGAAAGGGCGCUUUCGGGUGUCCGCUGAUGGAUGGACCCGCGGUGCAUUAGCUAGUUGGUGAGGUAACGGCUCACCAAGGCGACGAUGCAUAGCCGACCUGAGAGGGUGAUCGGGCCACAUUGGGACUGAGACACGGCCCAAACUCUUACGGGAGCAGGCAGUAGGGAAUCUUCGGGCAAUGGACAAAGUCUGGACCGAGCAACGCCGCGUGAGUGAAG
Molecule: ribosomal RNA, 410 nt
Filed under: uncultured bacterium
Lineage: Bacteria
Description: bacterial SSU rRNA
Rfam family: Bacterial small subunit ribosomal RNA
Source: RNAcentral